ACAGCUUGUGCACUGAGUGACCCCAUACAGUUCUAUGCCGAACGUUUGCAUUCAGCUUUGUCAGAUAGCGCUGGGACCAAUGAUAAAAUGCUGAUCAGAAUUAUAGUCUCCAGAUCAGAGAUUGACCUGGCUGAGAUAAAGCAAAAGUAUGCAGAACUCUAUGGAGUCAGCUUGGCACAGAGUAUAGAGGGCGACUGUGGAGGAGAGUACAAGACAAUGCUGCUGGCACUUCUGGGAAAAUGAGCAAUGUUGGCCAUAAUGUGUUUGGUAACAAGAAUUGAAGAGAGAUGAUGAACACUGGAUCAGGGUUAUACCUAAAGCCUUUCAAGUAACCAGUGGGCAAACCAAUAUGAAAAAGUCCACUUGACAACAGAGGGAGUAAAAUAAAAGCAAAAUGGUUGAUUUGAUAUCUGUUCUAAUAUUUUUGAUGAGAUGGCUUUUUAAUGGUAUUGAAAUAUCUAAAAUUGUAUAUAAUUCUUUAAAAAAAUAGAAAAAACCAUAAUCACAGCAUAUAAUAGUCAAACUUUCAAGGUGCAUAAAUACAGGGUUGCCAACUCUACAUAUUCCCCUGUAUUAUACACUGUAUUGUUUAGUAUCAAUUCCUUUUGUUUUCAGGUGUUAUUGUACUGUUAAUAACAUGUUUAACAAUAGAACUACGCAUUUUGAGUACUGUAAUGUUGGCAGCCCUGAACUCUCGUGCAGUUUUGUCACAAAAUUAUUUUCUCUGUCAUAUUGAUGUCAGUUCCAUGUGGUCUUCCCUGCUGGGCUCUGUGGGUUCCAUGACCAUAUUUAUUGCAAUAGAUCUUUAAGUCAGACAAUCGGGUAAAUAAUCAUUACUUAUGUAGGAUCUAGUCACUUAUAAUAAUAUGUUAAAAUGAUAUAUUUUAAAAGAAAAUCAGUGUACAUACCAUUGCAAAUAUGUAAGUCAUAGUGAUGAUUUUGUAGUGAAUCUAAAAGAGGAUAGUGCAUGGUCUUCUUUGUAUCUUAAGAACUGAAAUUAAGUUGCAUUUGAAAAAAAAAUACUCUUUUGUGCUUGAAAACAUAAUACAUUGUAUUGAUACAUGUCAUGUAAUGUUAUAACAACAGCAUAUUUUUCAUUCUUAAGUCUUUUAAUAUUUCAUAUAUCAUAGUUAAAUCAAAACUGAUUUUGAUAAAAUAUAUUAUAAUUGCUUUACUAAAUUUAUUGCAAUACAAAUGUAACAGAGUAAAAGUAUAUAACAUCGCAAGCCUAAGAAAGGUAUUAUACAAUUAAUCAAAACAGGGUUUUGAUACAGUAAAAGACACUUAAAGUGCAUGGUUUUAUACUGUUUUAGCUUAAUGCCAAGGAAAUCAACAUUUUUAUAUUUACAUAUUAUAUAUUUAUCUUAAUACUGUAUAGUCAUUGCUUUUUAUCAUCAUUUGUUGUAUAACUCAUCUUCAAUUUAGAUAAGUAGCCUACAGCCUACAGGGUAGUUGAAUUAACAUGCCAGCAUUUUGUCAUAUAACAUGGAAGACUUCAAAACAAGCAAAUGCCAUCCACCUGAGCUCAUCACCCCAGGUGUCAAGGUCUUGAAACUUCCCCUUUUAUGUACAGAAGUGGCUAUUUGCCUGAAAGUUUGUUUUAUUUAUUAUUUUGGUUAUUUUUAUUAAAAAAAAGAGAGAUGGGGGGUUCAAACUUUUAAUCUCAGGGUGGUGAGUUGGUGUUCUUGCCAUGGUCUGUAGGGUAAGCUUUUUUAUUUUACUAAAUUAUUUUGACAUUGUUUUUUUUUUUUUUUUUUUUUUUGUAUUACAGAGUAGCACAAAAGUUGUGUAAUUGAAUUUUAUGCUUUGCUAAUAAGGAAAACUGAAUGCUUUAUUUUGAUCUUUUAAUACUUGUAUGAAUCUUCAUAUUUUCAUUGUUUUAUCUGCUGGGCAAUGUUAACCUCGGUAGAAAGGGUUUAAGAAACAUUUGUUAAGCUUCACAGGGUUCCUGUUAACCAUAGAAAAAAAAAGGUGAAAACGCAAUGACGAAUAAAUA
Long non-coding RNA from Lingula anatina, 1996 nucleotides. The record is from RefSeq and is a predicted model, not a curated record. Lineage: Eukaryota; Metazoa; Brachiopoda; Lingulata; Lingulida; Lingulidae.